CCUGGAAGGCGUGGAUAUCCUGGAUAUAUGUAUACUGAUUUGGCAACCAUAUAUGAGCGGGCUGGACGGAUUGAGGGACGAAAAGGCUCCAUCACACAGAUUCCAAUUUUAACUAUGCCAAAUGAUGAUAUUACACAUCCCACCCCAGACCUUACAGGAUAUAUUACAGAGGGACAGAUAUACAUUGACAGGCAGCUUUACAAUAGACAGAUAUAUCC
This 218-nucleotide unclassified non-coding RNA is filed under the name Hevea brasiliensis (rubber tree). Lineage: Eukaryota; Viridiplantae; Streptophyta; Magnoliopsida; Malpighiales; Euphorbiaceae. The record is from RNAcentral.